This 431-nucleotide ribosomal RNA is filed under the name uncultured bacterium. RNAcentral describes it as "bacterial SSU rRNA". It matches the Rfam family "Bacterial small subunit ribosomal RNA", at positions 954 to 1384 of the family's 1533-position model. The record is from RNAcentral.
AUGGGAACGCGAAGAACCUUACCUACUCUUGACAUCCAGAGAACUUAGCAGAGAUGCUUUGGUGCCUUCGGGAACUCUGAGACAGGUGCUGCAUGGCUGUCGUCAGCUCGUGUUGUGAAAUGUUGGGUUAAGUCCCGCAACGAGCGCAACCCUUAUCCUUUGUUGCCAGCGGUCCGGCCGGGAACUCAAAGGAGACUACCAGUGAUAAACUGGAGGAAGGUGGGGAUGGACGUCAAGUCAUCAUGGCCCUUACGAGUAGGACUACACACGUGCUACAAUGGCGCAUACAAAGAGAAGCGACCUCGCGAGAGCAAGCGGACCUCAUAAAGUAUGUCGUAGUCCGGAUUGGAGUCUGCAACUCGACUCAUGAAGUCGGAAUCGCUAGUAAUCGUAGAUCAGAAUGCUACGGUGAAUACGUUCCCGGGUCUUGU